RNAcentral lists this ribosomal RNA (404 nucleotides) under Pseudomonas sp. RNAcentral's name for it is "partial 16S ribosomal RNA". It matches the Rfam family "Bacterial small subunit ribosomal RNA", at positions 355 to 776 of the family's 1533-position model. Lineage: Bacteria; Pseudomonadati; Pseudomonadota; Gammaproteobacteria; Pseudomonadales; Pseudomonadaceae. The record is from RNAcentral. RNAcentral also lists the same sequence under 1 other name.
UGGGGAAUAUUGGACAAUGGGCGCAAGCCUGAUCCAGCCAUGCCGCGUGAGUGAUGAAGGCCCUAGGGUUGUAAAGCUCUUUCACCGGUGAAGAUAAUGACGGUAACCGGAGAAGAAGCCCCGGCUAACUUCGUGCCAGCAGCCGCGGUAAUACGAAGGGGGCUAGCGUUGUUCGGAUUUACUGGGCGUAAAGCGCACGUAGGCGGACUUUUAAGUCAGGGGUGAAAUCCCGGGGCUCAACCCCGGAACUGCCUUUGAUACUGGAAGUCUUGAGUAUGGUAGAGGUAAGUGGAAUUCCGAGUGUAGAGGUGAAAUUCGUAGAUAUUCGGAGGAACACCAGUGGCGAAGGCGGCUCACUGGACCAUUACUGACGCUGAGGUGCGAAAGCGUGGGGAGCAAACAGG